Molecule: ribosomal RNA, 290 nt
Filed under: uncultured bacterium
Lineage: Bacteria
Description: partial 16S ribosomal RNA
Rfam family: Bacterial small subunit ribosomal RNA
Source: RNAcentral
UGGGGAAUAUUGCACAAUGGGCGAAAGCCUGAUGCAGCAACGCCGCGUGAGUGAUGAAGGUCUUCGGAUUGUAAAGCUCUGUCUUUUGGGACGAUAAUGACGGUACCAAAGGAGGAAGCCACGGCUAACUACGUGCCAGCAGCCGCGGUAAUACGUAGGUGGCGAGCGUUGUCCGGAUUUACUGGGCGUAAAGGGUGCGUAGGCGGAUGUUUAAGUGAGAUGUGAAAUACCCGGGCUUAACUUGGGUGCUGCAUUUCCAAACUGGAUAUCUAGAGUGCAGGAGAGGAGAA